AUGUCGUGGCCAGUGUUGUCAUUCUCGGUGGUGGCGAUGGCGGCGGCAGCGGCAGCGGCGCUCGUAGCAGCGAGCGGAGCAGCGCCGGCGCCCAUAGGGAAACACGGCUGCGAAACGAGGUGCGGUGACGUGAGCGUGCCAUACCCGUUCGGCUUGGGACCGGACAGGUGCUCCGCAGCGGCAGGCUUCAAGCUCACCUGCGUCCACGGCAACACUACCGGUACCAGACCCGGAGCAGCCAGCCGGCCCCGGCUGUUCCUCAGCGACUACAGGGGCUUCGAGAUCAUGGAUAUCUCAGUGGAAAACCGGACGGUUAGCGGGGUCAGCCCCACUAUCUUCAGCAACGCCGCCAUCAACAGCACUAUCAGGAGGUCUAUGGGCUUCGGUGACAACCGCUGGAAGAACACCAGGCCACCGAGCACCUCCUAUCUGGUGGCCACGGGGUGCAACGUGCAGGUCACGCUGCUCUUCACUACUCCUGCCGGCACCCACAGCUACACCUCCGGCUGCACCUCAUACUGUAGCGGCAGUGCUGUGAUCACCGACAACGACGUCCGGAACUACGGCGUUGGCUUCUGCACUACCCCGGUCGUCUCAUACCUCGCGUCCUAUACCGUGGAGCUCAAGCGGCUCGCCGGGAACAGCACCAUUAACAACGAUCUCCCGGUGUACGUGUUCAUCGCCGAGGAAGGUUGGUUUGGUCCGGACCGGGCCGUAGAUCUUAUGAAUCUGGGCGCACGUCGUUCCAGACUCAAGGCCAAGGAUGAACAUCUGUUGGUACCCUUGACCCUCGACUGGGUAUGCAUCCAUGGAUCCUGCAACGCCUCCGUCAACGCCAACUGCACCACACUCGACAACGUGUGCCAAUGCAAUCCUGGCUAUAAGGGUAACCCUUACCUAACGGAUGGAUGCCAAGAUAUCGAUGAGUGCAUGCAGCCAAUGGACCAUGGCUGUUUCGGUGAGUGUCACAAUACGCAGGGAUCGUUCGACUGCUGGUGUUCGCGAGGAGGAAACGCCAGCCAACCAAAUGGCUGCCUCAAGCCCACAAGGAAAACAGGUUUAAUCAUUGGUCUCUCCGUUGCUACUGGCGCAUCCUCCAUUCUUUUCUUUCUGGGUGGAUUGUUAAUAAUUCGCAAGAUUAAGCAUCACAAGGCUGAAAAGUUGAAACAGAAGUUUUUCAAUCAAAAUCAUGGACAGCUAUUGCAACAACUAGUAUCUCAAAGGUCUGACAUUGGCGGAAGGAUGAUCAUCCCUUUAAAGGAAAUAGAGAAGGCCACAAACAAUUUUGAUCAAACGCGUAAACUUGGUGGCGGAGGGCAUGGUACAGUCUACAAAGGAAUAUUGUCAGACUUACAUGUUGUGGCCAUCAAAAGGUCAAAUAUUGUGGUCCAGAGAGAAAUUGAUGAGUUCAUAAAUGAGGUUGCCAUACUAUCACAAAUCAACCAUAAGAAUAUUGUUAAGCUUCAUGGUUGUUGUCUCGAGACAGAAGUCCCACUAUUGGCCUACGAAUUCAUUUCCAAUGGAACCCUUGGUGAUCAUCUUCAUAAUGAAUCACCAAAAUCAAUAUCUUGGAGUGGCAGGCUAAGGAUCGGAAGUGAAGUAGGAAGAGCAAUUGCUUACCUUCAUUCUGCUGUUUUAGUUCCUAUAAUACAUAGGGAUAUCAAAUCUUCUAACAUACUUCUUGAUGAUGCUUUCACGGCAAAAGUAUCAGACUUUGGUGCUUCGAGGUACAUUCCAAUCGAUCAGACAGGUAGAACAGAAACAGCAGUGCAAGGAACUAUAGGAUAUCUUGAUCCUAUGUACUACUACACGGGACGGCUGUCAGAAAAGAGCGAUGUUUAUAGCUUUGGAAUCCUUCUUGUGGAGUUGCUUACGAGGAAGAUGCCAACCAUGUAUAGAACCUCAGCAGGUGAUGGACUUGUGGCACAAUUUGUUGAAAUCCUGGAAGAAGGCAAACUAGUUGACAUACUGGAUUCCCAAGUUGUAGAGGAGGGAGGUAGCGAAGUUGAAGAAGUAGCUGCUCUAGCGGCAUCAUGUAUAAAAUUAAGAGGAGAGGAUAGGCCAACCAUGAGGCAAGUGGAGAUGGCACUCGAAGGCAUUCAGGCAAACAAGCAGCUUGUCCUAACUGAUUUGGGAGCAGAGCGAAAUGAGGAGAACUACUUAACCAGAACCAGUUUGAGCUUGGAGGAAGUGAGCUGA
This 2199-nucleotide ribosomal RNA is filed under the name Triticum aestivum (bread wheat). RNAcentral describes it as "partial small subunit ribosomal RNA". The record is from RNAcentral. Lineage: Eukaryota; Viridiplantae; Streptophyta; Magnoliopsida; Poales; Poaceae.